Molecule: ribosomal RNA, 147 nt
Filed under: Escherichia coli
Lineage: Bacteria; Pseudomonadati; Pseudomonadota; Gammaproteobacteria; Enterobacterales; Enterobacteriaceae
Description: partial 23S ribosomal RNA
Rfam family: Bacterial large subunit ribosomal RNA
Source: RNAcentral
GCCCCGAGAUGAGUUCUCCCUGACCCUUUAAGGGUCCUGAAGGAACGUUGAAGACGACGACGUUGAUAGGCCGGGUGUGUAAGCGCAGCGAUGCGUUGAGCUAACCGGUACUAAUGAACCGUGAGGCUUAACCUUACAACGCCGAAG